This 71-nucleotide transfer RNA is filed under the name Flavobacteriales bacterium. Its description in RNAcentral is "tRNA-Gln". It matches the Rfam family "tRNA". Rfam says of the family: Transfer RNA (tRNA) molecules are approximately 80 nucleotides in length. The record is from RNAcentral. RNAcentral also lists the same sequence under 1 other name. Lineage: Bacteria; Pseudomonadati; Bacteroidota; Flavobacteriia; Flavobacteriales.
UCCCCGAUGGUGUAAUGGUAACACACCGGCUUUUGGUGCCGUUUUUCAAGGUUCGAGUCCUUGUCGGGGAA